This is a long non-coding RNA of Cimex lectularius (bed bug), 226 nucleotides long. RefSeq lists it as uncharacterized. The transcript is spliced from 2 exons. Lineage: Eukaryota; Metazoa; Arthropoda; Insecta; Hemiptera; Cimicidae. The record is from RefSeq and is a predicted model, not a curated record.
GGAUGGUUUCUAGUCGUACGCCAUAAUAAUUUCAAUUAGACUGACAACAACAGUCUUGGAGUCGAAACCCUACUGUAAUUCAAUAAGCGACAGCCCGCGACUGCGCCAAUCCCCCUCCUUCCAAAACACAACAACAGCCACAUUUGUUUCCAGACAGCGUUUGGGGUGUGGCGGAGUAUAAAUAAAAUCCCUACUUUAACAUUGAAUUGAAUAAGCAAAAAGUAAG